This 266-nucleotide ribosomal RNA is filed under the name uncultured bacterium. Its description in RNAcentral is "partial 16S ribosomal RNA". It matches the Rfam family "Bacterial small subunit ribosomal RNA", at positions 793 to 1055 of the family's 1533-position model. The record is from RNAcentral.
GUCCACGCCGUAAACGAUGGGUACUAGUUGGUGCGGGUAUUGACACCUGCGCUGACGAAGCAAACGCAUUAAGUACACCGCCUGGGGAGUACGGCCGCAAGGCUAAAACUCAAAGGAAUUGACGGGGGCCCGCACAAGCGGUGGAGUAUGUGGAUUAAUUCGACGCAACGCGAAGAACCUUACCUGGCCUUGACAUCCCGGGAAGGCGGCCGAAAAGCUGCCGUGCCCUUCGGGGAACCUGGAGACAGGUGCUGCAUGGCUGUCGU